This 458-nucleotide ribosomal RNA is filed under the name uncultured bacterium. RNAcentral's name for it is "partial 16S ribosomal RNA". It matches the Rfam family "Bacterial small subunit ribosomal RNA", at positions 338 to 795 of the family's 1533-position model. The record is from RNAcentral.
CCUACGGGUGGCAGCAGUGAGGAAUAUUGGUCAAUGGGCGAGAGCCUGAACCAGCCAAGUCGCGUGAGGGAGUACUGCCCUAUGGGUUGUAAACCUCUUUUGUCGGGGAGCAAAAGCCGGACGUGUCCGGCUGUGAGAGUACCCGAAGAAAAAGCAUCGGCUAACUCCGUGCCAGCAGCCGCGGUAAUACGGAGGAUGCGAGCGUUAUCCGGUUUUAUUGGGUUUAAAGGGUGCGCAGGCGGAUUUUUAAGUCAGCGGUAAAAUCGUGGGGCUCAACCCCAUCCAGCCGUUGAAACUGGGGAUCUAGAGUGUGCGAGAGGUAUGCGGAAUGCGUGGUGUAGCGGUGAAAUGCAUAGAUAUCACGCAGAACCCCGAUUGCGAAGGCAGCAUACCGGUGCACAACUGACGCUCAGGCACGAAAGCGUGGGUAUCGAACAGGAUUAGAUACCCCAGUAGUC